This 137-nucleotide ribosomal RNA is filed under the name Dendrobium harveyanum. RNAcentral describes it as "partial 28S ribosomal RNA". Lineage: Eukaryota; Viridiplantae; Streptophyta; Magnoliopsida; Asparagales; Orchidaceae. The record is from RNAcentral.
UCAUCAUCUUGUUGGCUGCGAAUAAUAUGGGGUGGAAUAAAAUCGGGCCUAUCUUAUUGUGCGCGCAUGCCUUAGAGAUGAUUGUAUUUUUAAGCUUAUCCCAAAUCAUGCGUCCAUCCACGGAUGGCGUUUUGAAU